RNAcentral lists this ribosomal RNA (492 nucleotides) under uncultured bacterium. Its description in RNAcentral is "partial 16S ribosomal RNA". It matches the Rfam family "Bacterial small subunit ribosomal RNA", at positions 29 to 507 of the family's 1533-position model. The record is from RNAcentral.
AGUGAACGCUGGCGGUAGGCCUAACACAUGCAAGUCGAACGGCAGCACAGUAAUAGCUUGCUCUUACGGGUGGCGAGUGGCGGACGGGUGCGGAAUACAUCCGAAUCUACUUUUUCUUGGGUGCUGACGUAGGGACACUUACGCUAAUACCGCAUACGACCUACGGGUGAGAGCAGGGGAUCUUCGGACCUUGCGCGAUUCAAUGAGCCGAUGUCGGAUUAGCUAGUUGGCGGGGUAAAGGCCCACCAAGGCGACGAUCCGUAGCUGGUCUGAGAGGAUGAUCAGCCACACUGGAACUGAGACACGGUCCAGACUCCUACGGGAGGCAGCAGUGGGGAAUAUUGGACAAUGGGCGAAAGCCUGAUCCAGCCAUACCGCGUGUGUGAAGAAGGUCUUCGGGUUGUAAAGCCCUUUUGGUGGGAAAGAAAAGCAGUAAGUUAAUACCCCGCUGUUUUGACGGUACCAAAAGAAUAAGCACCGGCUAACUUCGUG